This 524-nucleotide ribosomal RNA is filed under the name uncultured bacterium. Its description in RNAcentral is "partial 16S ribosomal RNA". It matches the Rfam family "Bacterial small subunit ribosomal RNA", at positions 28 to 523 of the family's 1533-position model. The record is from RNAcentral.
GACGAACGCUGGCGGCGUGCCUAAUACAUGCAAGUCGAGCGCAGGAAACUGACGGAACUCUUCGGAGGGAAGGCAGUGGAAUGAGCGGCGGACGGGUGAGUAACACGUAAGGAACCUGCCUCAAGGAUUGGGAUAACUCCGAGAAAUCGGAGCUAAUACCGGAUAGUUCAACGGACCGCAUGGUCCGCUGAUGAAAGGCGCUUCGGCGUCACCUUGAGAUGGCCUUGCGGUGCAUUAGCUAGUUGGUGGGGUAACGGCCCACCAAGGCGACGAUGCAUAGCCGACCAGAGAGGGUGACCGGCCACACUGGGACUGAGACACGGCCCAGACUCCUACGGGAGGCAGCAGUAGGGAAUCUUCCACAAUGGACGAAAGUCUGAUGGAGCAACGCCGCGUGAGUGAUGAAGGUUUUCGGAUCGUAAAACUCUGUUGUAAGGGAAGAACACGUACGAGAGGGAAUGCUCGUACCUUGACGGUACCUUACGAGAAAGCCACGGCUAACUACGUGCCAGCCGCCGCGGUAA